GGAGGUGGCAAGCGUUGUCCGGAAUUAUUGGGCGUAAAGCGCGCGCAGGUGGGUUCUUUAAGUCUGAUGUGAAAGCCCCCGGGCUCAACCGGGGAGGGUCAUUGGAAACUGGGGAACUUGAGUGCAGGAGAGGAAAGUGGAAUUCCACGUGUAGCGGUGAAAUGCGUAGAUAUGUGGAGGAACACCAGUGGCGAAGGCGACUUUCUGGCCUGUAACUGACACUGAGGCGCGAAAGCGUGGGGAGCAAACAGGAUUAGAUACCCUGGUAGUCCACGCCGUAAACGAUGAGUGCUAAGUGUUGGGGGGUUUCCGCCCCUCAGUGCUGCAGCUAACGCAUUAAGCACUCCGCCUGGGGAGUACGGUCGCAAGACUG
Molecule: ribosomal RNA, 373 nt
Filed under: uncultured organism
Description: partial 16S ribosomal RNA
Rfam family: Bacterial small subunit ribosomal RNA
Source: RNAcentral